CUUGGCCUAGGAUGCAGGGGACACUGGGUUAGUCCAGGAGGGGGAGGACUUGGUGGGGCUCCAGUUCAUGGUGGCCCAGAGCCAGUGCUCAGAUAAGGGCACUGGUUUCUGAAGAAGCCUAGGGCUGGUCUUGGAGUGUGGCUCCCUCAGAGUCCACCACAAAUGACUGCCCAGCCCUGUGUGUGAAUCAGCAUCCAUUGCUUUACCUUUAGAAUGAACGGGUGGGGAAUGUCAGGCUAAGGCCCAAGAGAUCUGGUCUGGCCCUGCCAAGGCAUUAGGGUUGAGUCUGACCAAGUGUAACAGGUUAAUUUUUAAGUGAAUAAUUUGUUAUGGCCUGCAAAGGAUGCUAUAGAUAUCCAAAUGACCCUUGCUGGAAAAAAGGUUCCUAAAAAUGCAAUGACAGCUGGAGAAAAACGUUAUUUUGAAAAUGUAGCCAAAACUAGAAAUUUUUUU
Molecule: long non-coding RNA, 453 nt
Organism: Myotis davidii
Lineage: Eukaryota; Metazoa; Chordata; Mammalia; Chiroptera; Vespertilionidae
Exons: 3
Source: RefSeq, a predicted model, not a curated record